This is a long non-coding RNA of Rhipicephalus sanguineus (brown dog tick), 244 nucleotides long. RefSeq lists it as uncharacterized. NCBI's taxonomy places the organism in Eukaryota, Metazoa, Arthropoda, Arachnida, Ixodida, Ixodidae. The transcript is spliced from 3 exons. The record is from RefSeq and is a predicted model, not a curated record.
CUGGCAGAUCAGAAAUGUUCAGGCGAACGGCGGUUAUAUUUGUCCGUGGACCCAAGACUUCGUUGACGGGCAAAUAUCGAACACUGCAACAAGGGCUGUAGUGUGGAACGUUCUGCGCUGCUCUCGCCAACUGAAAAGAAUUCUGGUGUGCUGUAAAUGCCGACUGCACAAUAUGUGACUGGCCCGCGGCCGCUUUGAAGGUAAGAUUGUGUUCUCAUUAAUCUAUUUAUUGUACCUUUGUUUU